Molecule: ribosomal RNA, 518 nt
Filed under: uncultured bacterium
Lineage: Bacteria
Description: bacterial SSU rRNA
Rfam family: Bacterial small subunit ribosomal RNA
Source: RNAcentral
GUUUGAUCAUGGCUCAGAGCGAACGUUAGCGGCGGGCCUAACACAUGCAAGUCGAACGCGAAAGGUCUUCGGACUGAGUAGAGUGGCGCACGGGUGAGUAACACGUAGGUAAUCUACCCUUUGGCGGGGGAUAACGUUCCGAAAGGAGCGCUAAUACCGCAUAAGACCACGGAGUCUCCGGACGCUGUGGGAAAAGGUGGCCUCUUCUUGAAAGCUACCACCGAAGGAUGAGCCUGCGUCCCAUCAGCUAGUUGGUAAGGUAAUGGCUUACCAAGGCGAAGACGGGUAGCUGGUUUGAGAGAAUGAUCAGCCACACUGGCACUGGAACACGGGCCAGACUCCUACGGGAGGCAGCAGUGAGGAAUAUUGGGCAAUGGGCGAAAGCCUGACCCAGCCACGCCGCGUGAGUGAUGAAGGUCCUCGGGUCGUAAAGCUCUGUGGAGAGGGACGAAAACCCUGGUUUCAAAUAGGCUCCAGGCUUGACGGUACCUCUUUAGCAAGCACCGGCUAACUCUGUG